GACGAACGCUGGCGGCGUGCUUAACACAUGCAAGUCGAACGGAAAGGCCCUGCUUUUGUGGGGUGCUCGAGUGGCGAACGGGUGAGUAACACGUGAGUAACCUGCCCUUGACUUUGGGAUAACUUCAGGAAACUGGGGCUAAUACCGGAUAGGAGCUCCUGCUCCAUGGUGGGGGUUGGAAAGUUUCGGCGGUUGGGGAUGGACUCGCGGCUUAUCAGCUUGUUGGUGGGGUAGUGGCUUACCAAGGCUUUGACGGGUAGCCGGCCUGAGAGGGUGACCGGCCACAUUGGGACUGAGAUACGGCCCAGACUCCUACGGGAGGCAGAAGUGGGGAAUAUUGCACAAUGGGCGGAAGCCUGAUGCAGCAACGCCGCGUGCGGGAUGACGGCCUUCGGGUUGUAAACCGCUUUCGCCUGUGACGAAGCGUGAGUGACGGUAAUGGGUAAAGAAGCACCGGCUAACUACGUG
Molecule: ribosomal RNA, 468 nt
Filed under: uncultured bacterium
Lineage: Bacteria
Description: partial 16S ribosomal RNA
Rfam family: Bacterial small subunit ribosomal RNA
Source: RNAcentral